Molecule: long non-coding RNA, 785 nt
Filed under: Homo sapiens (human)
Lineage: Eukaryota; Metazoa; Chordata; Mammalia; Primates; Hominidae
Description: HSALNT0328485
Source: RNAcentral
AAUUCCUCCUUUUCUCUACAUUUACUCCUCAUUCUUGAGGGGUAUGAAGGGAUGAAGGUCCAUCUUCUAUAACUUCUUUAAGCUGAAUCCAGCACAACAGGAAGUGUUGGUGACUACACACACCCUACCUUGUUCUGCCAAGAGGUCAUCAAGAGCCGGAUGGUUAUAACGCACGAUAUUGGCUAGGGUAGACUCUGGAUGAAACAAGGUGACUCCAAGAGCAAAGCUUAGAAUACCUGAAUACCUGCAAGCAAGACAAGUAGAUUAAGUCCUGACAGAAAAGUAUACGCGGGCCCAAGGGGCAUAUUGUCCUGGAAUUAUGGCCAACAUUCUACAGGGCAACAGGUCAUUGAUUCUGAUCCUGCCAGCCUCCACCCAUCUUAUUGGUGGGCAUCAUCCCAGGGUGAACCUGUGAAAGAUAUUGCUUAGUACUGCUUGGAGCUAUUUUUAGCCUCUGUGGACAGCUCCAUAGGGAGAAUGAACUAUUCGUCAACGUCACCCAUAUUUUACUGAAGAUUUUGAAGGUAUUCCAAUGUGACUGACUACUACGUUUCCUCACAUGUGUGCUGCUGUAUCUGAGAUCACCAUGUUUUCAAUUAUCUCAUAUGAACCUGCCAAGGAUUGGAGGAGGCUUGCCCUGAGGACUGAGCUGCUUGUAGGAGAUGAACAGAAGUUUUGAAAACACAACAGCAAGAUGGGUCUGCUCCAAUGGUUUAUCUACUUCCCAAAGGACUUCCAGCCUUUUAAAUGAGAUGAUCUAUUUGGAAAUAAAGACUUAUACUGCG